Long non-coding RNA from Vidua chalybeata, 891 nucleotides. RefSeq lists it as uncharacterized. Lineage: Eukaryota; Metazoa; Chordata; Aves; Passeriformes; Viduidae. The transcript has 2 exons. The record is from RefSeq and is a predicted model, not a curated record.
GCAGCACAAUGUGGUCAAGGAGAUUGAUCUAUUUUUUCCCUAACACCUCCCGGGGUUUACCCAGCCCCUCCACUUGGGCUCUACAUGGGUGAAAUUCAGUUUAGUGUGUACACGUUUUUCUGCUAUGAGCUUCAACAUCUCCAUGACAAUAAGCUAAAAGUGGCAUAGAUGUGGUGGGGAUAGGGUACCCUGAAAUAGGUUAGUUAGAUGAAAUUAGGACACAUUUAAUGCCAGAAUCAGCAGUGCAACAUGGAUAUCUGCUGCAUUGUCAGAUGGUAGAUCAAAGGUGAGGAACGCCUUGUAGAUGAAUCACAGAACCAUUGAACAAUUUAAGUUAGAAAAGAUCUUUAAGCUCAUCACAUCCAACCUCUAACCCAGCUGAGAUGAGGAAAAGUGCUCCUUGAAAAGAGGGAGUUAAUUGACUGUGUUGGGCACAAGUGAUGAGACAUUGUCUCCAGAUAAAAGAUACAAACACAAAAUGCUGAGACAGUGAAGACAAGAAGCAAGGCUUGAAUGCUCUAAUUUGAAAUUCCUGCAUUAUGUGUAAUAAAACCCAGCUGUGGUGGGACUCCUUCACUUGUUUGAAUACUGAGACCUGUGGCUGGGAUAGAAAUGGACAAGGAUAUGGCUGUAGCUACUUUGGUCACCACACUGCAGGUAGGAGGAAUACAGGAGCUGCAUCAUCACUCCUUCCUUGCUUCCUCCCAAAGCCACGUGCCUGUUGUCUGUACAAGCACAGGUGCUUCCCUCAGAGCAGAGCAUGUCAGGAUAUUGCAUGAAGAAAUGUCAGCUACACAGAUGAUUUUCAAGACAGCAUGAAUGAAACAAAAUGUUGGCAUGGUCUAGCUGAAUUUCCUGACAAGAUAAACAUUAAAUUAAAUGUGAGACAUA